This 214-nucleotide ribosomal RNA is filed under the name uncultured Pseudomonas sp. Its description in RNAcentral is "partial 16S ribosomal RNA". It matches the Rfam family "Bacterial small subunit ribosomal RNA", at positions 140 to 354 of the family's 1533-position model. The record is from RNAcentral. Lineage: Bacteria; Pseudomonadati; Pseudomonadota; Gammaproteobacteria; Pseudomonadales; Pseudomonadaceae.
GGGACAACGUUUCGAAAGGAACGCUAAUACCGCAUACGUCCUACGGGAGAAAGCAGGGGACCUUCGGGCCUUGCGCUAUCAGAUGAGCCUAGGUCGGAUUAGCUAGUUGGUGAGGUAAUGGCUCACCAAGGCGACGAUCCGUAACUGGUCUGAGAGGAUGAUCAGUCACACUGGAACUGAGACACGGUCCAGACUCCUACGGGAGGCAGCAGAG